This 342-nucleotide ribosomal RNA is filed under the name uncultured Thermococcus sp. Its description in RNAcentral is "bacterial SSU rRNA". It matches the Rfam family "Archaeal small subunit ribosomal RNA", at positions 347 to 688 of the family's 1478-position model. The record is from RNAcentral. Lineage: Archaea; Methanobacteriati; Methanobacteriota; Thermococci; Thermococcales; Thermococcaceae.
ACUUUGCAAUGCGGGAAACCGCGACAAGGGAACUCCAAGUGCCUAUGCAAAGCAUAGGCUGUUCAACUGCCUAAAAAGCAGUUGGAGUAAGAGCUGGGUAAGUCCGGUGCCAGCCGCCGCGGUAAUACCGGCAGCUCGAGUGGUGGCCAUUAUUAUUGGGUCUAAAGCGUCCGUAGCCGGUCCUUCAAAUCCCUGGGUAAAUCGGGCAGCUCAACUGUCCGAAUUCCGGGGAGACUGUAGGGACUAGGGACCGGGAGAGGUCGGAGGUACUCCGUGGGGUAGGGGUGAAAUCCUAUAAUCCCGAGGGGGACCACCGGUGGCGAAGGCGUCCGACUAGAACGG